GUAGGGUUUAAACCUUAGAGAAGUCAGCUCCACACUGCCGUCCAGAAGAUGGAGGUAAUGCACCUGCAAGCUGGUCGCCAACCGCCAUUAAAACAAGAAGAAGAUUAAGACCGCGUUUUAGCAGUCUAACUUUGGCUUAAUCAAAAAGGUAGCAUUUUUGUUUCCUUUUUAGUUUUAUAUUUAUAGUAUAUGGUAUGCAUUUGGGGCAUAAAAUGAUUACUUUCCGGCCUCACACAAACGCAAUUUGGCGUCCACUUCAGUCCAAUGGCCGCUGCCAGUAGCUCGUUUACAGCUCCACCUUUACUGCUUCUACCACCACAACAACCAGCACCCAGCCCGCGGUGCUGCCUGGCUGGAAGGUUCUUGUAUACAGCCCGGCUGUAGGGGAUGAAGCACAGGCCCAGUGGACAGUGGCAUGAUAGCAUGAUGUGAACCAGUACAAAACCAGUACCUCUAAAUGUGUUUUGAUCAGAUUUAUAUGAUUUUCUGCCAGUAUUGAGCAGCAACGGUGCGAGGUGAAAGUGGGAGAGGACUAGACAGCAGGGCCCACUAUUCUUGUCACUCCAGGAAUG
RNAcentral lists this long non-coding RNA (572 nucleotides) under Takifugu rubripes (torafugu). RNAcentral's name for it is "lncRNA (ENSTRUG00000027451.1)". Lineage: Eukaryota; Metazoa; Chordata; Actinopteri; Tetraodontiformes; Tetraodontidae. The record is from RNAcentral.